This 294-nucleotide ribosomal RNA is filed under the name Triticum aestivum (bread wheat). RNAcentral's name for it is "partial small subunit ribosomal RNA". The record is from RNAcentral. Lineage: Eukaryota; Viridiplantae; Streptophyta; Magnoliopsida; Poales; Poaceae.
AUGGCACCGGCGCAUGCUCCUGGAGGCGGCGAUGACGUGACCGUGGCGGAGUGCCCAAUCUGCAUGGAGGAGCUGGUGGCCAACAACAACUGCGGAUCCGUGAGGAGAUUGCCCGGUUGCUUGCACUCCUUCCACGAAAGCUGCAUCACACAAUGGCUCUGCAGGGCGGCCACGUGUCCGUGCUGUCGGCGCGACAUGGCAGCAUACAAUAUCUGCGCGUACCCGGUGUCAUCGUUCUACUCGGAGACGGUCGUGACUGUUGCGCUGAACAUUCCGCGCCGCCCUCGACAAUGA